Molecule: long non-coding RNA, 462 nt
Filed under: Helianthus annuus (common sunflower)
Lineage: Eukaryota; Viridiplantae; Streptophyta; Magnoliopsida; Asterales; Asteraceae
Description: sRNA HanXRQr2_Chr13g0595781
Source: RNAcentral
UAUGAUGAGGUGGAGGAGCUGCAACUUCCGUAUUGCAGUUAGGGCACGCAAAUCGUGCUAAACCAUGAGGAACAUAAACCAUAGCCUUACAGUUAACGCACGGAACUUGAACCGGUGCCGGUGGUCGUACCAGAUCUGGCGGCAACACUUGCGUCAAGUGACAUUUACGACAUACAAACUCGGUCAUCCCCGGUCCAACCGUCGAUUUCUUUCCACAACCAGCGCAACGAAAUUUGUAGUUGCCGUUAACAGAAGAAUUGUGAAGUUGCGGUGGUGGUGGUGGUGGUGGUAGUGGUUGUUGUGGUGGUGGUGGUGGUUGUGGUGGUGCGAGUGGAAGAGAAAAGAAGGUGAAAGCGGUGGCGGUUCCAUUGCUAUCGGAUAGUGUGUAUAUGUAGAGGUGAAACCGGUGGUUAUGUUUGUACGGUGUGUGUGAAGCGGUUACGGCGGCGAGUGGUGGGGGAA